CCUACGGGUGGCUGCAGUGGGGAAUAUUGGACAAUGGGGGGAACCCUGAUCCAGCCAUGCCGCGUGUGUGAAGAAGGCCUUAUGGUUGUAAAGCACUUUAAGCGAGGAGGAGGCUCUUCUAGUUAAUACCUAGGAUGAGUGGACGUUACUCGCAGAAUAAGCACCGGCUAACUCUGUGCCAGCAGCCGCGGUAAUACAGAGGGUGCGAGCGUUAAUCGGAUUUACUGGGCGUAAAGCGUGCGUAGGCGGCUUUUUAAGUCGGAUGUGAAAUCCCCGAGCUUAACUUGGGAAUUGCAUUCGAUACUGGGAAGCUAGAGUAUGGGAGAGGAUGGUAGAAUUCCAGGUGUAGCGGUGAAAUGCGUAGAGAUCUGGAGGAAUACCGAUGGCGAAGGCAGCCAUCUGGCCUAAUACUGACGCUGAGGUACGAAAGCAUGGGGAGCAAACAGGAUUAGAUACCCCAGUAGUC
This 466-nucleotide ribosomal RNA is filed under the name uncultured bacterium. RNAcentral's name for it is "bacterial SSU rRNA". It matches the Rfam family "Bacterial small subunit ribosomal RNA", at positions 338 to 795 of the family's 1533-position model. The record is from RNAcentral.